GAAGUGGUAGCUGAGUGGUUAAGGCGUUGGACUCCUGAUCGGAAGAUUAAGAGUUCAAAUGCUGCCACUGCU
Molecule: non-coding RNA, 72 nt
Organism: Pangasius djambal
Lineage: Eukaryota; Metazoa; Chordata; Actinopteri; Siluriformes; Pangasiidae
Source: the annotation of a GenBank genome assembly